This 237-nucleotide unclassified non-coding RNA is filed under the name rhizosphere metagenome. RNAcentral's name for it is "partial ribosomal RNA internal transcribed spacer region". The record is from RNAcentral.
CUUUCAAAUCAGGGUGCGUCGCGGCCCCCGAGGAGCGGAAACAAUCCUUGGGAGGUUUGCGGAGUCUUCGGACCCCUUAACGCACGCACGACUGCCAUCCUUACUUUACGAGCACCUUCUGUUCUCCCUCGGCGGGGCAACCUGCCGUUGGAACCGAAUAAACUCUUUUUGCAUCUAGCAUUACCUGUUCCGAAACAAACAAUCGUUACAACUUUCAACAAUGGAUCUCUUGGCUCU